This 247-nucleotide ribosomal RNA is filed under the name uncultured bacterium. Its description in RNAcentral is "partial 16S ribosomal RNA". It matches the Rfam family "Bacterial small subunit ribosomal RNA", at positions 523 to 769 of the family's 1533-position model. The record is from RNAcentral.
AUACGGAGGGUGCAAGCGUUAAUCGGAAUUACUGGGCGUAAAGCGCACGUAGGUGGUUUGGUAAGUUGGAUGUGAAAUCCCACGGCUUAACUGUGGAGCUGCAUCUGAAACUGUUUUUCUUGAGUACUGGAGAGGAAAGUGGAAUUCCCAGUGUAGCGGUGAAAUGCGUAGAUAUCUGGAGGAACAUCAGUGGCGAAGGCGGCCACCUGGACCGAGACUGACACUGAGGUGCGAAAGCGUGGGUAGC